Molecule: long non-coding RNA, 422 nt
Filed under: Spirodela polyrhiza (greater duckweed)
Lineage: Eukaryota; Viridiplantae; Streptophyta; Magnoliopsida; Alismatales; Araceae
Description: long non-coding RNA (SPOL_LNC001832)
Source: RNAcentral
UCUCCGGCCCCCACGACGCCCCCCAGUACAACGCGUCUCCCGAGUCCACCAAUUUCUUCAAGGAGCACGGAGGCUCGUGGGACACCCCCUACGGGAACUUCUUCCUCUCCUGGUAUUCCAGCCAGCUCGUCGCCCACGGCGACCGCCUCCUCUCCGCCGCCUCCACAGCCUUCGGGGAUCUCCCCGUGACCGUCUACGGCAAGGUCCCGGUGAUGCACGCCUGGUACAAGCACCGGUCCCACCCCUCCGAGCUCACCGCCGGCUACCACAACACGGCCAACUCCGACGGCUACGAGGCCAUCGCGGAGAUGUUCGCGAGGCACUCAUGCGGCAUGAUCCUCCCCGCCAUGGACCUCUCCGACGAGCACCAGCCGCCGGCCUCGCGGUCCAGCCCGGAGGCGCUUGUGGCGCAGAUCAUGAGG